CGCCUUGCCGCCUCUGGCCACCGUCCUUCUCUGGUACACUGCCUGGUGGGUCCUGAUGUCAGAUGGUCGGUGCCGGGGCUUGGUUGGUCGGUUUGGUCUGGUUUGUGGGCCUCCUUUGCAUGCGUUACGCCGGACGCGAUCGUUUGCGACUUUGUCUGCGUAUUCGUCGUGUUUUCUUCUUAUUCCGGACUUGUGCUCAUGAAAUCAUAAAUCUUCGAAAACAACUAUGGAGCUAGGUCAGUGAUACAAAUAUGUGGGUAAGAGGUAUAGUUUUUCUUCUUUUAUGAGUAUAGUUGACGGUCAUAUUUCGCACUUAACGACCGUCAACACAGCGCACAGCGGCAGCCAUCCUAGCGCGCGCCGGCAGUGCACAGCGGCAGCCCGGAACGGCGGCGCGCGGCCGGACAGGCUGACAGGCAUGGGCCAGCGCGACAGGCGCCCAGCGAGCAGCGGCGGCGCUUGAUGAGGCGCCGGCGGCGGCAUGCGCGGCUGCGCCUGAGCGGCUGAGCUGCGGCCUGCAGGCGGCAGCAGUAGCAGGCCAUCUUCUGAACAAAUAAAGGUUCAAAUAUGAAGAGGAAGAAGGGUAGUAGUGCUGUUACAGAUCUGCGGUCUUUCUUGCAAAAGAGUGCCGCAAAGAAAAAACAAACCGAGCCAGAGAUUGUUACUCCAUCUGCUAUUGAAAGCCAAAUGCAGUUGGUGGUAUUCUAAGGACAGAGUGACACAGGAACAAGCACCAGUCAACCUCAAUCAGUGAGAGAUGAGCAGCGGCAGCCAGUUGAACCCUCAAUAAUAGAAGAUGAUGAAUCCAUGCCCCUAGGCGAAUCUGAUUCUAGUGACAAUGAUGAAGACAAUAAUGAUUAUGAGAUUGAGCAUGAUCUUGGAUUGAGGAGCUAUACCUUUUUCGGACUUCGGAGCAGCAGGCAAUAGAUCUUGGUUUGUUCUUCAAUCUUCAGCGUUAGAAGUUGCUUGUUAUAUUGUUGGCAAUCAGCUGAUUUGGUUUUUAUUCGAAUUCAUGUUUGCAUAUGUGGCCAAUAUUUGAUCAUACAGAGUAAUUACGAAGUAAAUGGCUUAUCAAUUGAUUUGAACUGACUUGCCCACUCAA
This is a long non-coding RNA of Panicum virgatum (switchgrass), 1102 nucleotides long. RefSeq lists it as uncharacterized. Lineage: Eukaryota; Viridiplantae; Streptophyta; Magnoliopsida; Poales; Poaceae. The transcript is spliced from 2 exons. The record is from RefSeq and is a predicted model, not a curated record.